RNAcentral lists this ribosomal RNA (244 nucleotides) under uncultured bacterium. RNAcentral describes it as "partial small subunit ribosomal RNA". It matches the Rfam family "Bacterial small subunit ribosomal RNA", at positions 26 to 285 of the family's 1533-position model. The record is from RNAcentral.
AGAAUCAACGCUGGCGGCGUGCCUAACACAUGCAAGUCGAACGAGAAAGUGGAGCAAUCCAUGAGUAAAGUGGCGCACGGGUGAGUAACACGUGACUAACCUACCCUUGAGUGGGGGAUAACCUAGGGAAACCUGGGCUAAUACCGCAUAAUACCUACGGGUCAAAGGAGCAAUUCGCUUUAGGAGGGGUCGCGGCAGAUUAGUUAGUUGGCGGGGUAAUGGCCCACCAAGACAGUGAUCUGUA